Synchiropus splendidus (mandarinfish) is the source of this 606-nucleotide long non-coding RNA. RefSeq lists it as uncharacterized. The record is from RefSeq and is a predicted model, not a curated record. The transcript is spliced from 4 exons. NCBI's taxonomy places the organism in Eukaryota, Metazoa, Chordata, Actinopteri, Syngnathiformes, Callionymidae.
GUUCAAACUCUCCGUUUUAAUUUCAGUCUGAACCAACCAACACAGAGCAACGAGUGUAAUGAUGCAUCCAACUCUUCCCCUUCCUUCCCUAAAGCAAUGCACGGUGUGCUGCUGCAAAUGUCAUUGCAUCUUUGGAAAAUGGUAUUUGUGGAAUCUUUCAAGAUUAAGAACCAUGUACAGAAUGAGCCUGAGCAUCAAGUUCAUCACUAACAGAUCCAGACGUGGUGAAGGCAUCUGAAACCGAGCCCACCCUAAAAGAGCCGGACAAGGUGAAAGUAUAUGACUUGGCAGAUCACUGAUCCCCUGUUGUGAGAGACACUCUGGUGGCCUGGACGAGGGUUGAGGAAAACAAGCACCACUUUGCUGGGAGGAUCGCUCCAGGGUCAGAAUGGAUGAUGAAGUCGAGAUGGCCAUCACAUAGCAGGACCUCAUUAUGAAUUCUGAUUUUGAUGACACAGAGGAAGAUGAGAUUUCUCUUCCUUUUUACAUUUGAUGAAAAAGAGGACAUAGAGUUUCUGGUGCAGGAAAUCCUGGACAAGCAAAAGAGUCGGGUUUCUAGCAUGUACAAUCUUGAUCUGUAACAUGAAAUAAAAUAAGUCUCCAUUG